CAUUUUCUCGCCUUCGCAAUGAAAAUCUAGUUGUGAUUCCAUUAGCUGACUUGGUACGGUCCUUUUCAUUUUCUCUCUUUCUGUCGUGAAAACAGAGAUAAACAUCAACAUAUCAAUUGUUUUGAGAUAAAAUCAAGAAAAAAUCUGUCAUUUUAAGAGGAUUAACCGUCAAAGCUGUAGAUAUUACCGGAAUGCCAAAACUUUUACCCCUUAAAACGUGCACACUUUACUUGUUUUGUGUAUGAUAUUGUCUUUUCCAAAUUCAAUUUCUGGAUCAGAUAAACCAUAGUGCCAGAGUAACUACAGAAGAUCAUGCUUAUGAAAUUAAAGGAGCAGCAGGUCUUUUCUCCUGGGAUUACCUAUUUUCCCUAAGGAGUCCCCUUUCUCUCAAGGCUGGUGACCAGGUGAAAUGCCCUUGCCUCUGAUUUUUUUUCUCUUCUCACGUUCCGUAUGUAUCUAAGAAGUUUAUACACGAAUUAACAAGCCAGUUCUUAUUGAUCAAAGCGUGUUACGAAUUAAAUAAGAACAUGUUAAACAAACUUUUCUGUGAGAACUCUUAGGAGAAAAAAGUAAGAAGAAAAUGAAAUGAAUUUCUUCAUAAGUUAAAAUUUGAUUAUCCAUGAACUAAUUAUGAAAGUUCCAUCAUUAGUUUCUCUACAUUUUUAAUGUUUUACUAGUUGCAUAAGCUAUCGAGAAAUUCAUUCCAUUUUUUCUUUCUUUUUAUUUUGUAUUUGUCCUUACGGAGAAGUUUCUCUACGUUGUAUUUAGAAGAACAAACCGUGCAAUUGGUGACAUAAAAUACAAUGGUAAUAUAUACUUACACAUAACAAAGGAAGGAACUUUUUACUGCAGGUGUAUAUCCAAUAUGAUUUGAAUAAAAGCAAUGCUGAGCUGGCUCUGGACUACGGUUUCAUUGAACCAAAUGCAGACCGGAAUGCAUAUACCUUGACACUGCAG
This 957-nucleotide long non-coding RNA is filed under the name Vigna radiata. Its description in RNAcentral is "long non-coding RNA (VRAD_LNC006331)". Lineage: Eukaryota; Viridiplantae; Streptophyta; Magnoliopsida; Fabales; Fabaceae. The record is from RNAcentral.